GUGGGGAAUAUUGCACAAUGGGCGGAAGCCUGAUGCAGCGACGCCGCGUGAGGGAUGACGGCCUUCGGGUUGUAAACCUCUUUCGACAGGGACGAAGCUUUUGUGACGGUACCUGUAUAAGAAGCACCGGCUAACUACGUGCCAGCAGCCGCGGUAAUACGUAGGGUGCGAGCGUUGUCCGGAAUUACUGGGCGUAAAGAGCUCGUAGGUGGUUUGUCGCGUCGUCUGUGAAAUUCCGGGGCUUAACUCCGGGCGUGCAGGCGAUACGGGCAUAACUUGAGUGCUGUAGGGGAGACUGGAAUUCCUGGUGUAGCGGUGAAAUGCGCAGAUAUCAGGAGGAACACCGAUGGCGAAGGCAGGUCUCUGGGCAGUAACUGACGCUGAGGAGCGAAAGCAUGGGGAGCGAACAGGAUUAGAAACCCCAGUAGUCC
This 431-nucleotide ribosomal RNA is filed under the name uncultured bacterium. RNAcentral's name for it is "bacterial SSU rRNA". It matches the Rfam family "Bacterial small subunit ribosomal RNA", at positions 354 to 796 of the family's 1533-position model. The record is from RNAcentral.